UAAGGAGCUCAUAAUCCCUGUGAAUACAACUUCCAUCUUCUAAUUAAAGCAGCUGAAGCCCACGAAAGGACAUAUCCCGCCCAAGGUCAGAGAGAGCCGAUCAGUGACGCUGGCUGGAAUAAAACCCAUGUCUCCGGACUCCCACGCGUGCGGGUGAAGGCCUAGCAGAGGACAAAAAGGGAUCCACAAUAGGAUCGGGCUUGAAGUCCAGCUCGGUGCGGCUCGGGUCGCAAGACAAAGGUCACCCCUCCCUCCCGAAGGUCGCCAGCGCCACACCCGGCCACUCCCACCAGCCGCCCCGUUACCGGUAGCCAGCGCAGACCCUUCCUGAUGCGGCAACCCGCCAGCCCAGCGCGCCCAGGUCACGCCGCCGGAAGCCGCCUGGACUGCCCCGGAAACGGAAGUCAGGGGGCGCCGUCCCAGAAGCUCUGAGCUAGGGACUGGCCCUGGCGAUAGUCGUGGAGAGAGCAAUACGCGCCUGAAGGUCUGUGCGCGCUGACGCCGGGCAGGCUCGUAACAUUACGGAAUCCCUGUUGAAGUGCAAGCUGGACUGGCGGAAAUCAGAUUUCCCGUAUCUUCUCAAAGGCUGUUUGUCAAGACUGCCACCUGGAGAAUUUCAUCUGUCUUCUAAGAUCUGGUACAUUUUCUGUAUCUCUAUUACAGCACAUAAUUAUAGUGUAUUAUAUAUUUAAGAAGUUUUUAUCUUUAUUAAAAAUGUUUUUAUUUUCAAGUAAUCUCUACAUCCAAUGUAGGGUUCAAACUCACAGCUCCAAGAUCAAGAGUUGCAUGCUGUACCAACUGAGCCAGCUAGGCACCCUUAAAUGUUAAGAUUUUUUUUUUCUUUAAGUGGGCUUCACGCCCACCAUGGGGCUUGAACUCACAACCCUGAGAUCAAGAGUAGCAUGUUCUACUGACUGAGCUAGCCAGGCACCCCCUUUAUUGUAUUUUUGAUGUAUCCCUCUACUCCCUCAGAUGCUGGGUGCUUUCAUUUUAGGGGUUAUAGAUUUCCUUUUUAUUUCCACAGGACCUGGACCAAAGUGGAUGCUGAAUCAGUGAUGAUCAAAUGGAAAUGAAAUUGAAUUGCAGAGUUGCAAGAUACAUUCAGUCAUAGUCUAGUUUGACUCCUAUAAUAAUCAUCCUGCAAAAGCAAGUUUUGUUAUAUCAUUUACCCAUAUUAAAAAUAAAGAAACAGGGGUGCCUGGGUGACUCA
RNAcentral lists this long non-coding RNA (1210 nucleotides) under Felis catus (domestic cat). RNAcentral describes it as "lncRNA (ENSFCAG00000049953.1)". The record is from RNAcentral. Lineage: Eukaryota; Metazoa; Chordata; Mammalia; Carnivora; Felidae.